GCAACGGUUGCCUAGCCUGGUAGGGCGCUGGCCUGGAAAGCCAGUGUGUGAAUGCAUUCGGGGGUUCGAAUCCCUCCCGUUGCG
RNAcentral lists this transfer RNA (84 nucleotides) under Promethearchaeota archaeon. RNAcentral describes it as "Candidatus Lokiarchaeota archaeon (permafrost metagenome) tRNA-Ser". It matches the Rfam family "tRNA". Rfam says of the family: Transfer RNA (tRNA) molecules are approximately 80 nucleotides in length. Their secondary structure includes four short double-helical elements and three loops (D, anti-codon, and T loops). The record is from RNAcentral. Lineage: Archaea; Promethearchaeati; Promethearchaeota.